UUACUGAGAUUUUUCAACAGCUUAGAAGGAUAUUGAACAUAAAAGCAGAGAAAAGAACAAGGACCUUAUUGUUGACAAUUAGAAUCUCCUGGGUGAAUCCUACAGGUGAUUCAAAGCAAUAGUUCACACAAAAGAAAUGUAUUUUCCACAUGGCACCAAAAUAUGCUUAAUAUUUUUAUGGAUUUUCAGUUACCCUAGACACAGAUAAUCAAUGGACAUGCCACUGUAGCCCUAUUUAAAUUAAUAGCAACAUCUCUGGAAUUAGUUUUUCUGCAGGUACCCUAUACCAUAUUGUUUUUGUUUAACAUUUGUUUAUUGGAUGCCUCCAUAAAAACACUCAGCAACUUUUACCCUUUACGUGCAGAUGAAAUUAGCUCCUUGGAACAGAGAGUGGCAUCAACAGCAGUGCUUCUGGGGUGAGCAUGGAGUAAGUUUGAAUUGUUUCUAUAACCAAUUUGCUCAGCUCAGGCUGCUAUUACAGAACAGCAUUGAGUGGGUGGCUUCAACAACAGACAGGUAUUUCUCACUGUUCUGGAGGCUGAGAAGUCCAACAUCCAGUUGCAAGGCAGAUUUGGUUCUGACAGGGACUCUUUCCUGGCUUGCAGAUGAUCACCUUCUCAUAGUGGAAAGAGAAAGAAGAAACAAAUUCUCUGCCAUCUCUUCUUAUCAAGGUAUUAAUCCUGUAGGGAAUUCCUCACCCUCAUGAUCUCGUCCAAACUCAAUACCUCCCAAAGGCCCCAUCUCCACAUUUCAUCACAGUGGGGAGGAGGGCUUCAGCAUCUAAAUUUUUGGGGGAAAUGCAGUUCAGACCAUAACAACUGGUAACUAACACUAGGUUAUCAUAUCACAGAACAAAUUUGCACAUAUUUUUCUUGGAGUGAAAACAUGGGCUAGGGAUUAAAAGAGGAUAUUCAGUUGUAUCCUACAAGAUUUAUUUAUUUCCAGAAUCUUCAGCUCUUUCCUUGACACUGUAUGUCUUUCGCUUUUUUGUUUUAGACCAUGGGAUGGUUAUAAAAUUGUUUUAACAUUUUCUUCUGAACAAUGAUUAAGGAAACUCCCUGUGUAAGAAAGAAUAUGAAUGUGAAGAAUAUUGCUCUAUUGCAUGGAAAAACUUCAUUCUACAUAGCUCAGUGGCUGAACGUCUGAAAAAUAGGUGUCUUUUACACCCCUUCCCCUUUCUUGAUAGCAAUUUAUAUCUCUCAUCUCUUUCUAAGCACAUCUUUUCUCAGAAGCCUUUAAUGAUACCUGCCAAUUCUUCACUCUUCUAGGCUGGAAUACAUACUCUUUAGUUUUAUGGCUUUAAUACAUCUUUUUUUCCUUUCCUUAAAUCAUGAUUGACAGUAUAAUCCAACUUUUUGGAAUCCCUUCAAAGCACUCACUAUUUUACAUCUAAGAAGGACUCUUGGGGUGGAUGUCAUUGAGCCCAUCUUAAUGUGCCUGUCAGGGUGGUGAUACUCUAGGCCUAGGAUUGAGUUGAAGCCUACUUAUUCAGCUUGCUUCAAUAAUCCAGCAGGAAAGGUAAGUUAAGACAGGUCUAUCCUAAAUACUCAUGAUUAUAUGGAGGGAGCUUUGUUUCUAGCAGCCCAAGUCCAAGCUUUCUUUAUGUGCUUGUCUUCAUCAAAACUUUUUUUUUUUUUUUAAAGAACUCGUCUCACUAAAGCAUCUAUAAACCAUUGGUCACCGGGCUCACAUCAUUCUUUGAAUUUCUGAUCUAUUUACAGAGCCUAGAUUUCUACAACAUGUUCUUUCCUGUAGAGCCUCUAAAUAUGAUAGUCCUUCUGUCUGGAAUGCUAUUUCCAAGUCCUCUUUAUGGGGUCCUUCAGAUAUUAAAUUUCUACUUAAUGAUUUACCACAUCCAGACAGGUCUUCCUUCACUGUCCUAGUCAAUGAAUAUUUCUCCUCAUGAUUCUCUAUCCCAGUACCUUUUCACCCUAUGACACUCAUACACAUUUGUUAUCACUCAUUUUUCAGUUUUUUUUUUUUUUUUCCUGUAUGUCCGCCCACCUUAAUUGUUUUAGUCCCCACUCCAUUUCUGGCACAGAGUAGUUGCUUGAUACACUUUGCUCUAGAAACACAUGAAUGAAUGACUAAUUUCUGAGCAUGCACCGCCUUUACUCAUCCAUUUAGUCCUAUCUAGCACUGAACCUCAGAAGAAUAAAAUUAAAUUUGGAAUUAUAAAUGGAUAUUAUCUAUUCUGACACCCUUGUGAGUUACAAUAAAAGUAAUAGUAAUGAGGAUGAGGAUGAAUAUUAAUGGAGUGUUUGCUGUGUGCCAUUAUGUGCUAUAUAGAUUAUCCAGUCUUCAUUAAUAUUUUAAUAGGGAAAAAAAAAAAAAGGAUACAGAGACGAUGCUUUCAAAGCUUAAGCUUCAGGGUCCUCAGUUGCACGGCCUCCUUCUAAGAGUCAGGUUGGGGUCUGAGCUACACACUUAUUUUUAUUAUUUUGUAUGUGUACUUUUUCAUAAAGAGACAUCUUUCCCACAAUUCUGGAAUCUUCAGGCCCUAUAGUACCUGAAUCUUUUCUGGAAACUUGGAAAGAUACUUAAAAUUCCAAUUUGAUGAGUAAAGAAACUGAAAGAUAACUCAAGUUAAAAAGAACUAGGAGCAGAUGCAAAGGGGUUCUGAACCCUGCCCAUAUAACUCUAGAACUUAUCUUUUUAACCGUGAUACUGGAUGGAAGCCAGCAAGUAAAAACACAUUAGUAAAACAUAGGCCUAUGAAUACAUGGCUAAUAUUUCCACUAAGAUAUUCUUUAAAAAACAAAAGAGCUUAGUUUUACAGCGGAGUGAAUUUGAAAUACAUGGAAUCAAGGAUGGGUACCCCCUCUUUAUAUCAGCCCUUUAUUGGCCUCAAUUUCCUUGAGCCUCUUGCUCAGAACUUUGACAUGUGGUGUUAAAAUUUGCCCUCAUUUUAUUUAACACCAAGUCAGCUGUUUGGUGAUUUUCAUAAGCUCCAGAAAAGGGCAUAUAUCUUUGCUUACCAUGGCCUUAUUCUUCAAUCUCAUCGAUUCAAUAUAAAUCAAGGUAGCAAUAUCAUAUGCCAAUAUUCUGUUGUGUAUCAGCCUUGAUAUGUUGAUCAUUUGUUGCAAUAUAGGAAGAAAUGAAGACAGAAAAAAGAAGUAAAUCAAAACCUGUAUUGCAAGCUAUCCUUCCGAGUAUAUUUUACUUUAAAAAAUUGUUUUAAUUGAAGUAUAGUUGAUUCACAAUAUUGUGUUAGUUUCAGGUGUUGCCAGGAGUAACAUGGAGAUAAUAAUAGCCAUGCCUAUCUACCUAAUCAGUUGCUUUUAGAUCAAUGACAUCAUAGUUUUCAAGGCAUUUUGGAAUUAGAAGUGUAAUAUGAAUCUGAGAAUCAUUAUAUCACUUGUAAAUGGUUGAAAGCUCUUGAGAAAUAAUAUCUUUCUUAAGACAGUAGGUAUUGACUAUAGGAAAUGAGCUUACCUGGGUACCCAGAUGAUUUUGAAAAGGUGUUUGUAAA
RNAcentral lists this long non-coding RNA (3472 nucleotides) under Sus scrofa (pig). RNAcentral's name for it is "lncRNA (ENSSSCG00000057937.1)". Lineage: Eukaryota; Metazoa; Chordata; Mammalia; Artiodactyla; Suidae. The record is from RNAcentral.